AGCGAACGCUGGCGGCAGGCCUAAUACAUGCAAGUCGAGCGCACCUUCGGGUGAGCGGCGGACGGGUGAGUAACGCGUGGGAAUGUGCCCUUUGGUACGGAACAACUGAGGGAAACUUCAGCUAAUACCGUAUGUGCCCUUCGGGGGAAAGAUUUAUCGCCAUAGGAGCAGCCCGCGUUGGAUUAGGUAGUUGGUGAGGUAAAGGCUCACCAAGCCUACGAUCCAUAGCUGGUCGAGAGGAUGAUCAGCCACACUGGGACUGAGACACGGCCCAGACUCCUACGGGAGGCAGCAGUAGGGAAUCUUGCGCAAUGGGCGAAAGCCUGACGCAGCCAUGCCGCGUGAAUGAUGAAGGUCUUAGGAUUGUAAAAUUCUUUCACCGGGGAAGAUAA
This 392-nucleotide ribosomal RNA is filed under the name uncultured bacterium. Its description in RNAcentral is "bacterial SSU rRNA". It matches the Rfam family "Bacterial small subunit ribosomal RNA", at positions 29 to 451 of the family's 1533-position model. The record is from RNAcentral.